Molecule: long non-coding RNA, 1151 nt
Organism: Sebastes umbrosus (honeycomb rockfish)
Lineage: Eukaryota; Metazoa; Chordata; Actinopteri; Perciformes; Sebastidae
Exons: 4
Source: RefSeq, a predicted model, not a curated record
ACGAAGGCUUCCAGGUGGUUCUCAGCCUCACUGGAGCCAAAUGUUUAGAAUAAUAAAAACUUGUGUUGUCGGUUAAAGCCACUGUGUGUGUAGAGUCUGAAAAAUCUUUAGACGUUGGCGCCCUCCAGUGGUAGGAUUAUAAGAAAGAACACACUGAGACAGUUAAUGUGUGAAUGCAUCACUAAAUAUCUUGUAUCUGUUUCUGACCUCUUUGUCGUAUCUUAACUUAAAAUCUUUUGUUUACAAUUUGCUCCACAGAUUUAAAGACACCUGUAAUCACUGGUGAUACAACUGUUAGGAAGGGAGAUGCUCUGAAUUUAACCUGCAGUGUUGAAAGUGUUCCUCCUCCGUCUCAUAUCACAUGGACUAUACUUGGCUCCAACAUAAACCUACACAACGGACCUGAUGCUGACCUGCAGAACGACACCGCAUCCAACACACUUGUCAUCCCUAAUGUGACGGCAGAAGAUUCUGGACGAGACUUUGACUACAUAUGCUGAUGUAACAGUGACUUGGCUUUCAAAGAUCUUAAACUCUGGAUGUGUGCUUCAGUCGGAGGUCCUGACCUGUGUGUGCAUUAGCGAGGGGUUUCCUUUACCCACCAUCAAAUGGCAGCUGUUGGAGAACCACGCUGAGUACUCUGUCACCACCACCGUGUCCCACCACACGGUCCACAGCACCGCCACCCUAACUGUAAAAGACCACAGCAACACUGUUGUUGAGUGUGUCAGCAGCAGUGAAGUUGGGGAAAUGCGACAAAACGUCACCAUCAAAACUUCAGAGAGACGAGAAGCUCAACAUGGACCCAGUGCAGUGCUUCCCUGGGUCGUCGUCGCUGUUGCAUCUCUCAUCGUGAACGUCAUCUGCAUAAUCCUCCUGAUGUUCCUUUGGAACACAAGAAAAAAGAUGAAACCAAACCAAGAGGACAGAACUUACAUGUCCCUGCAGAAAACCGACCCAUCACCAGAGUAUGAUGUUAUCGCUCCACGUCUGAACUAACUAGUGUCAGCUUCCACUGAGUGUGGUAGAAGAGGCUACUUCCAUACUCAACUGAUUUUCGACAUGUCUAAGAUUUUCUGAGUAUGACAUGUCUUAGUUUAUUUCUUUUUCUUUUAUGUCUGUAAAGGGGAGACUCGUGGGUACCCAUAGAA